Molecule: ribosomal RNA, 584 nt
Filed under: uncultured bacterium
Lineage: Bacteria
Description: partial 16S ribosomal RNA
Rfam family: Bacterial small subunit ribosomal RNA
Source: RNAcentral
UGGGGAAUUUUGGACAAUGGGGGCAACCCUGAUCCAGCCAUGCCGCGUGCGGGAAGAAGGCCUUCGGGUUGUAAACCGCUUUUGUCAGGGAAGAAAUCCUCUGGGCUAAUACCUCGGGGGGAUGACGGUACCUGAAGAAUAAGCACCGGCUAACUACGUGCCAGCAGCCGCGGUAAUACGUAGGGUGCGAGCGUUAAUCGGAAUUACUGGGCGUAAAGCGUGCGCAGGCGGUUGUGCAAGACGGAUGUGAAAUCCCCGGGCUAACCUGGGAACUGCAUUUGUGACUGCACGGCUGGAGUGCGGCAGAGGGGGAUGGAAUUCCGCGUGUAGCAGUGAAAUGCGUAGAUAUGCGGAGGAACACCGAUGGCGAAGGCAAUCCCCUGGGCCUGCACUGACGCUCAUGCACGAAAGCGUGGGGAGCAAACAGGAUUAGAUACCCUGGUAGUCCACGCCCUAAACGAUGUCAACUGGUUGUUGGACGGCUUGCUGUUCAGUAACGAAGCUAACGCGUGAAGUUGACCGCCUGGGGAGUACGGCCGCAAGGUUGAAACUUAAAUGAAUUGACGGGGUCAUAGCUGUUUCCU